Lathyrus oleraceus (garden pea) is the source of this 556-nucleotide long non-coding RNA. RefSeq lists it as uncharacterized. Lineage: Eukaryota; Viridiplantae; Streptophyta; Magnoliopsida; Fabales; Fabaceae. The transcript has 2 exons. The record is from RefSeq and is a predicted model, not a curated record.
UGAAUUUAUCACUUUUUGCUGAUUUUGUUGUUCUAAAUUGUCAAAGGAACCGUGGUAGACACCAGCAUUUGUCACCCUAGGGAAUUUGAUUUUUACCUUAACAGCCAUGCAGGAAUUCAGGGGACUAGUCGACCAACGCAUUAUCAUGUGCUGUAUGAUGAAAAUAAAUUCACUGCAGACCAGCUACAGAGUUUGACCAAUAACUUGUUAUCUUGUAUGCAGUUCCUCCUGCCUAUUAUGCACACUUGCUAUUAUUCAUCAUGGGUGGAUGGGCGUUAUUUUGUUUAGUAUUGGUUAGAACUACUAGACAGCUUUUGGAUACAGUGGUCACUGGGUGUUGGUUGCUAUGGAUCUUUCGAGACUAAUAGUGUAUAUUGUUGUUGUACUUUUACUAAAUCAUGAAUAUGUUGUUGUAUAUUGUUGAUCAAAGAAUCAUAUAUUAAUGUUGUAUAUAUGAAGGAUUAAUGUUGUAUAUAAAUGGAUUCAUGUUGUAUAUAUCAAUGGAUUAAUGGUGUAUAACAUUGGAUUAAAGGAUGAAUUCAAUAUGAAUUUUACA